GAUGAACGCUGGCGGCGUGCCUAAUACAUGCAAGUCGAGCGAACAGAUGAGGAGCUUGCUCCUCUGACGUUAGCGGCGGACGGGUGAGUAACACGUGGAUAACCUACCUAUAAGACUGGGAUAACUUCGGGAAACCGGAGCUAAUACCGGAUAAUAUAUUGAACCGCAUGGUUCAAUAGUGAAAGACGGUUUUGCUGUCACUUAUAGAUGGAUCCGCGCCGCAUUAGCUGGUUGGUAAGGUAACGGCUUACCAAGGCAACGAUGCGUAGCCGACCUGAGAGGGUGAUCGGCCACACUGGAUCUGAGACACGGUCCAGACACCGACGGGAGGCAGCAGUAGGGAAUCUUCCGCAAUGGGCGAAAGCCUGACGGAGCAAAGCCGCGUGAGUGAUGAAGGCCUUCGGAUCGUAAAACUCUGUUAUUAGGAAAGAACAAAUGUGUAAGUAACUAUGCACGUCUUGACGGUACCUAAUCAGAAAGCCACGGCUAACUACGUG
Molecule: ribosomal RNA, 497 nt
Filed under: uncultured bacterium
Lineage: Bacteria
Description: partial 16S ribosomal RNA
Rfam family: Bacterial small subunit ribosomal RNA
Source: RNAcentral